GCCAGCAGCCAUAUCACCCUUUAACUCAACAACAGGCAACCCACUGAAGCUAAGCAGGAGUGAGCCUGGUCAGUACCUGGAUGGGAGACCUCCUGGGAAAAACUAAGGUUGCUGCUGGAA
This is a ribosomal RNA of Lepisosteus oculatus (spotted gar), 120 nucleotides long. The record is from Ensembl. NCBI's taxonomy places the organism in Eukaryota, Metazoa, Chordata, Actinopteri, Semionotiformes, Lepisosteidae.